AGGCCCCUGUGCGUAUCGAAGGCCCACGUGCCGACGUGGGCUAUCAGUAGGUACGGCGGGGGCCU
RNAcentral lists this non-coding RNA (65 nucleotides) under unclassified sequences. RNAcentral describes it as "DUF3800-VIII RNA". It matches the Rfam family "DUF3800-VIII RNA". Rfam says of the family: Bacteroidetes, Cyanobacteria, Firmicutes, Planctomycetes (1 example), Proteobacteria, Tenericutes (1 example). Nearby to DUF3800 The record is from Rfam by way of RNAcentral.